GGUGAACGCUGGCGGCGUGCUUAAGACAUGCAAGUCGAACGCAGUCUUCGGACUGAGUGGCGCACGGGUGAGUAACACGUAACUGACCUACCCCCAAGUCGCGGAUAACUGGCCGAAAGGUCAGCUAAUACGUGAUGUGAUGUCCCCUUUCUGGGGGGCCAUUAAAGGUUUACUGCUUGGGGAUGGGGUUGCGUUCCAUCAGCUAGUUGGCGGGGUAAAGGCCCACCAAGGCAACGACGGAUAGCCGGCCUGAGAGGGUGGCCGGCCACAGGGGCACUGAGACACGGGUCCCACUCCUACGGGAGGCAGCAGUUAGGAAUCUUCCACAAUGGGCGAAAGCCUGAUGGAGCGACGCCGCGUGAGGGAUGAAGGUUCUCGGAUCGUAAACCUCUGAAUCAGGGACGAAAGACGCGUAAGCGGGAUGACGGUACCUGAGUAAUAGCACCGGCUAACUCCGUGCCAGCAGCCGCCGCGG
RNAcentral lists this ribosomal RNA (475 nucleotides) under uncultured bacterium. RNAcentral's name for it is "partial 16S ribosomal RNA". It matches the Rfam family "Bacterial small subunit ribosomal RNA", at positions 28 to 523 of the family's 1533-position model. The record is from RNAcentral.